RNAcentral lists this small nuclear RNA (110 nucleotides) under Marchantia polymorpha subsp. ruderalis. Lineage: Eukaryota; Viridiplantae; Streptophyta; Marchantiopsida; Marchantiales; Marchantiaceae. The record is from RNAcentral.
UGAUUAUAGUCAUUUGAAACAAUACAAUAAAGUUGAAAUGAUGCAGAGAAGAUUAGUGUGGCCCCUGCACAAGGAUGGUACUCAGAAAUCAAGAAAUAUAUAUGACAUAA